RNAcentral lists this ribosomal RNA (484 nucleotides) under uncultured bacterium. RNAcentral describes it as "bacterial SSU rRNA". It matches the Rfam family "Bacterial small subunit ribosomal RNA", at positions 341 to 842 of the family's 1533-position model. The record is from RNAcentral.
ACGGGAGGCAGCAGUGGGGAAUAUUGCACAAUGGGGGGAACCCUGAUGCAGCAACGCCGCGUGAAGGAAGACGGUUUUCGGAUUGUAAACUUCUAUCAAUAGGGAAGAAAGAAAUGACGGUACCUAAAUAAGAAGCCCCGGCUAACUACGUGCCAGCAGCCGCGGUAAUACGUAGGGGGCAAGCGUUAUCCGGAAUUACUGGGUGUAAAGGGAGAGUAGGCGGCAAGGUAAGCGAUAUGUGAAAGCCUUAGGCUUAACCUGAGGAUUGCAUAACGAACUAUCUAGCUAGAGUACAGGAGAGGAAAGCGGAAUUCCUAGUGUAGCGGUGAAAUGCGUAGAUAUUAGGAAGAACACCAGUGGCGAAGGCGGCUUUCUGGACUGAAACUGACGCUGAGGCUCGAAAGCGUGGGGAGCGAACAGGAUUAGAUACCCUGGUAGUCCACGCUGUAAACGAUGAGUGCUAGGUGUCGGGGAGGAAUCCUCG